RNAcentral lists this ribosomal RNA (477 nucleotides) under uncultured bacterium. Its description in RNAcentral is "bacterial SSU rRNA". It matches the Rfam family "Bacterial small subunit ribosomal RNA", at positions 28 to 516 of the family's 1533-position model. The record is from RNAcentral.
GAUGAACGCUAGCGGCAGGCCUAAUACAUGCAAGGCGAGGGGUUCGCAAGGACACCGUCGUACGGGUGCGUAACGCGUAUGCAACCUACCUAUCACAGGGGGAUAGCCUUUGGAAACAGGGAUUAAUACCGCAUAAAGCAGGGGCUUGGCAUCAAGAUACUGCUAAAGAUUUAUCGGUGAUAGAUGGGCAUGCGUCUGAUUAGUUAGUUGGCAGGGUAACGGCCUACCAAGACGAUGAUCAGUAGGGGGCGUCAGAGCGUGGUCCCCCACACUGGCACUGAGAUACGGGCCAGACUCCUACGGGAGGCAGCAGUAGGGAAUAUUGGGCAAUGGGUGCAAGCCUGACCCAGCCAUGCCGCGUGGAGGAAGAAGGUCCUCUGGAUUGUAAACUCCUUUUGUCGGGGAAGAAGAGUCAUCUUGCGAGGUGAUGUGACGGUACCCGAUGAAUAAGCCACGGCUAACUACGUGCCAGCAGCC